RNAcentral lists this ribosomal RNA (1326 nucleotides) under Actinotia polyodon. RNAcentral describes it as "16S ribosomal RNA". The record is from RNAcentral. Lineage: Eukaryota; Metazoa; Arthropoda; Insecta; Lepidoptera; Noctuidae.
GGGGAAAAAUUAAUUAUUUAUAUUAUAAAAAAAAAAUUUUUAAAUAAAAAUAUUUUAAAGGGGGGUUAAAGUAUUUUUAUAGAAAAAAUUAAAUAAUUUAUAGUAAAUUAGUAUUGUGAAAGAAUUUUGAAAUAAUUGAAAAAUAAAUUAAUUAAAAGUAAUUUUAAUUUAAUGUAUCUUGGGUAUCAGAGUUUAUUAAUAAAAAUUUUUAAAAAAAAAAUUCUCGAAUUUAAAAGAGAUAAUUAAUUAAUAAAGUUAUUGUAGCAUAAAUAUUUUAAAUAAUUAAUUGGAAAUGAAAUGUUAAUCGUUUUUAAAUAUAUCUAGUUUUUUUAGAAAAAAAUUUAAUUUUUUAUUAUUUUAUAAAUAAAUUAAUUAAUUAAUUUAUUUAUAAAAUAAUAUUAUAUUUUAGGGGAUAAGCUUUAAUUUAAAAUUAUAUAAAUAAAUUAAUUAUUAUAAUUGAAAUUUAUAUAAUUUAUAUUGUUAAUAAAAUUUAAUUUAUUAUAAAUAAUUUCAUUUAAAAUAAAAUUUAAUAAGAUUUUAUAUAUUUAUAAAAAAAAAUUUUUUAAUAUGGAAAAAAUUAUUAUAAUGAUAAAAUUAGUAUAUUAAAAAUAAAAUAAUAUUAUUAUUUUAAAUAAAAUUAAUUAAAAGGAAUUCGGCAAAAAUUUAUAUUCACUUGUUUAUCAAAAACAUGUCUUUUUGUAAAUAAUAUAAAGUCUAAUCUGCCCACUGAUUUAAAAAAUUAAAGGGCUGCAGUAUAUUGACUGUACAAAGGUAGCAUAAUCAUUAGUCAUUUAAUUGAUGACUUGUAUGAAGGAUUGGAUGAAAUAUAAACUGUCUCUUAAUUAAAUAUAGAAUUUAAUUUUUUAAUCAAAAAGUUAAAAUAAGUUAAAAAGACGAGAAGACCCUAUAGAGUUUUAUAAAUAAAAUUAAUUAAGAUUAUAUAUAAAUAUAAUUAAAAUUAUCAAAAUUAAUUUAUUUAUUUUGUUGGGGUGACAAAAAAAUAUAAUAAACUUUUUUUUUAUAGAAAACAUAUAUAAGUGAUUAUUUGAUCCAAUAAUAUUGAUUAUAAGAAAAAAUUACCUUAGGGAUAACAGCGUAAUUUUUUUUUUUAGUUCAAAUAAGAAAAAGAGUUUGCGACCUCGAUGUUGGAUUAAGAUAAAAUUUAAAUGCAGAAGUUUAAAAUUUUGAUCUGUUCGAUCAUUAAAAUCUUACAUGAUCUGAGUUCAAACCGGUGUAAGCCAGGUUGGUUUCUAUCUUUUAAUAAAUAAAAUAUUUUAGUACGAAAGGAUUAAAUAUUUAAAUUAAAUUUAUAUUUUUUUUUUGAAU